Molecule: long non-coding RNA, 484 nt
Filed under: Phasianus colchicus (ring-necked pheasant)
Lineage: Eukaryota; Metazoa; Chordata; Aves; Galliformes; Phasianidae
Description: lncRNA (ENSPCLG00000003677.1)
Source: RNAcentral
AGACAGUCAACUGUGAUGUAAUAGUUGUGGUGGUGCAGUUAAUUCUGCAGGUGCAAAUCCACAGUACUGCUCCUACCAGCAGACGUAAUCUUAAUCAGUCAGAGCUCUGACUCAACCACUUCUGAAAAUGCAAAUGUGCAGUUAAAUUUGUACUGGAGUUUGUGCCUCAGAGUCCAGCUUUAGAUUAGCUAGGAUGGCCUGGAAACUAUUUCUCCUAACGGAAGAAACUUGAUACUUCUCUUUGUCCAGAGACUAUGAGAUGAAUCAACAGCCUUCAAAUAAUCCUCAAUAUGGAAGGUCCAAAAUUGAACAUCAAGGCUGACAGCAGGAGGUGCUUUGAUGAGCUUCCAUCUGGAAAGGCAGUGCAUGCAUAUGGAAGAGAGAUCGUAACCUGAAGAUUAACAUGACAAAGCACUGCUGCAAAUUUUCAGCUGGAAAGACAGAAUUGCUUUCAACUCAGACAAUAAAUUAGAUAUGAUUCACA